AUAAAAACAUCUACAAUAAAAAUAAUCACUCUUGACUUCCUUUGUAGUCAAUGGAGAGAAACAAACAUUUGUGGAGUGUGACUCACCUCAUUCCAAAGUAGGUGUCUAAACUAGUUUGGGUGAAUCAUGUUGUAAAAAUGCCUAAUUCUCUACAUAAUGAGAGCCUCUGGUGACAACUUCAGAUAUAGUUUACUGCACUGUAGAAACCCUCAUCCAAAGGGAGAUGAAUAGAUUUUCUUCUUAGGAGAUCCUAAGAGUAGAUAAACUACCACUUUAGUCCGGACCAUCACCAACAACUGAUGCCUGAGACAACAUACUUAAAGAAAAAUGCAAGAACAAGAAACUUCAGUGCUCCUGAUGCAAUUCCAUGAAGCUGCCAAUAUAGGAUCCAAUUUACCAGGCAUGCUGUACCGCAGGUGCAGAGAUAAGAGUCCCAGUUCUGAAGUUUUGUUCUAAAUCUUCAAGUCUGACCCUCUUUCCUGACCCAGGAAGCCUAACCUUCUGAGGCUGGGGUUUGAGGAUAGAAGAAUGUGAAAUACAGAAUAG
RNAcentral lists this long non-coding RNA (546 nucleotides) under Gallus gallus (chicken). RNAcentral describes it as "lncRNA (ENSGALG00010014404.1)". Lineage: Eukaryota; Metazoa; Chordata; Aves; Galliformes; Phasianidae. The record is from RNAcentral.